AAUUUUGGACAAUGGGGGAAACCCUGAUCCAGCCAUCCCGCGUGUAUGAUGAAGGCCUUCGGGUUGUAAAGUACUUUUGGCAGAGAAGAAAAGGUAUCUCCUAAUACGAGAUACUGCUGACGGUAUCUGCAGAAUAAGCACCGGCUAACUACUUGCUUGCAGCCGCGGUAAUAAGUAGGGUGCAAGCUGUAAUCGGAAUUACUGGGCGUAAAACGGGUGUAGGAGGUUCAGAAAGAAAGAUGUGGAAUACCAGGGCUCAACCUUGGAACUGCAUUUUUAACUGCCGAGCUAGAGUAUGUCAGAGGGGGGUAGAAUUCCACGUGGAGCAGUGAAAUGCGUAGAUAUGUGGAGGAAUACCGAUGGCGAAGGCAGCCCCCUGGGAUAAUACUGACGCUCAGACACGAAAGCGUGGGGAGCAAACAGG
Molecule: ribosomal RNA, 424 nt
Filed under: uncultured bacterium
Lineage: Bacteria
Description: partial 16S ribosomal RNA
Rfam family: Bacterial small subunit ribosomal RNA
Source: RNAcentral